AUGAAUCAAGGUCUUAUCCUAGCCUCUGCUUGGAGAAUUGCCAACUCUCCCAGCUCACAUCUGCAUCUUGUUCUUAAGUCCAAAUAUUUUUGGGACUCUUCUUUUUGGACUGCCACCUCUAGCGCUCCAAAAUUGGCCUUCUGGUCCUCCAUUCUCAAGAUGCUCCCUAAACUCAAAGCUCACUCCUUCUAUCAGAUCACUCAAGGAAAAAAUUCCAUUUGGAGUACUCCCUGGUGCCCAGCUUGGACUGAUAUCUACAAUCAUCUCAUUAUUCAACCUACAAACUUUACUUAUCCUGCUCAAGUCAAAGAUCUUUGGCUCCAAGAACAGAAAGCCUGGAACAAUGUUCUCAUCUAUUCUAUUUUUCAAGAACCCACAACCUCUGUUAUUACUCAAACCAAGAUCAUUCAAGAUGACUGUGGUGAUAUUCUUUGCUGGGAUCUCAUGCCUAAUGUUUGGAAGCAAAAGCAUAUGGUGCCAAGGGUCCAAACAUUUGCAUGGAGACUUCUUGGAAAAGCCCUUCCUACAGGUUGCAGAGCUAGCCGUUUUUCUAGGCAUAUUACUAAAGCAUGUUGUCGUUGUUCGCAAGAUGAGGAUGAAAUGCAUCUCUUUUUCCUAUGUCCGUUUGUGAGAGCAUCUUGGUUUGCUCAUCCUUGGAAAUGUACUUUCCCUCAUCAGGUACAUCUUGUUGCGCUGGCCAUGGCUGAAUGCAACACUGUCCAAGAGGUUCCUCCUGACAAUCCUAAUUCUACUAUCCAUGCUCAUAUUAACAGGGACAACAAUUUGGACAAUAGAAGUAUCCAAGUUCAGAUUCAAGCAUCCGCACCACUAACUUCGUCACCUCUACAAGCAGAAGCACAAGCUCUUCUUCUUGCUGCCAAAGCAGCGCAGAUCUUACAAGUCGAGCAGCCCACGUUUCUCACCAACAAUAUUUCUCUUGCCAAGGCGGCGGCGAACAGGAAUGACUAUCCAAAAUCUACACCUGCAGGUGUUCCAUAUAUCUAG
This 1005-nucleotide ribosomal RNA is filed under the name Triticum aestivum (bread wheat). RNAcentral's name for it is "partial small subunit ribosomal RNA". The record is from RNAcentral. Lineage: Eukaryota; Viridiplantae; Streptophyta; Magnoliopsida; Poales; Poaceae.